This 252-nucleotide ribosomal RNA is filed under the name uncultured bacterium. RNAcentral's name for it is "partial 16S ribosomal RNA". It matches the Rfam family "Bacterial small subunit ribosomal RNA", at positions 525 to 776 of the family's 1533-position model. The record is from RNAcentral.
ACGGGGGGUGCAAGCGUUGUUCGGAAUUAUUGGGCGUAAAGCGCGUGUAGGCGGUCUGAUUAGUCUGAUGUGAAAGCCCUGGGCUCAACCCAGGAAGUGCAUUGGAUACUGUCAGACUUGAAUACGGGAGAGGGUAGUGGAAUUCCUAGUGUAGGAGUGAAAUCCGUAGAUAUUAGGAGGAACACCGGUGGCGAAGGCGGCUACCUGGACCGAUAUUGACGCUGAGACGCGAAAGCGUGGGUAGCAAACAGG